GGGCUAGUGGCGGAACCGGUAUACGCGCAACACUUAAAAUGUUGUCCCGAUUCGGGAUGUGGGUUCGAGUCCCACCUAGCCCACAA
Molecule: transfer RNA, 86 nt
Filed under: bacterium
Lineage: Bacteria
Description: tRNA-Leu
Rfam family: tRNA
About the family: Transfer RNA (tRNA) molecules are approximately 80 nucleotides in length. Their secondary structure includes four short double-helical elements and three loops (D, anti-codon, and T loops).
Source: RNAcentral